GUAGGUGGCAAGCGUUGUCCGGAAUUAUUGGGCGUAAAGCGCGCGCAGGCGGUUCUUUAAGUCUGAUGUGGAAGCCCACGGCUCAACCGUGGAGGGUCAUUGGAAACUGGAGAACUUGAGUACAGAAGAGGAAAGCGGAAUUCCACGUGUAGCGGUGAAAUGCGUAGAGAUGUGGAGGAACACCAGUGGCGAAGGCGGCUUUCUGGUCUGUAACUGACGCUGAGGCGCGAAAGCGUGGGGGAGCAAACAGGAUUAGAUACCCUGGUAGUCCACGCCGUAAACGAUGAGUGCUAAGUGUUAGGGGGUUUCCGCCCCUUAGUGCUGCAGCUAACGCAUUAAGCACUCCGCCUGGGAGUACGGCCGCAAGGCUG
This 371-nucleotide ribosomal RNA is filed under the name uncultured organism. RNAcentral describes it as "partial 16S ribosomal RNA". It matches the Rfam family "Bacterial small subunit ribosomal RNA", at positions 527 to 896 of the family's 1533-position model. The record is from RNAcentral.